This 326-nucleotide ribosomal RNA is filed under the name uncultured bacterium. RNAcentral describes it as "bacterial SSU rRNA". It matches the Rfam family "Bacterial small subunit ribosomal RNA", at positions 95 to 421 of the family's 1533-position model. The record is from RNAcentral.
GUGGGACACGGGAGUAUAACAUGGAUAACCUGCCUGUGUAACACGGGGACCACCUGUGAACGGGGGCGAUUACCCGGUAAGCUCUUUUUUUCCCAUGGGGAGAGAAGGAGAGGGGAAACCCCCUUACAGAUGGAUCCCCGGCCCAUUAUCUAGUUGGCGGUGUAACGGACCACCAAGGCGACAAUGGGUAUCCGGCCUGAGAGGGUGAUCGGCCACACUGGAACUGAGACACGGUCCACACUCCCACGGGAGGCAGCAGUGGGGAAUCUUCCCCUAUGGGCGAAAAUCUGACGGAGCAACGCCGCGUGAGAGAUGAAACCUUCGUG